CGCUCUCUGAAAACAUAUUAAGUAAUUUUAUAUGAGUUUGUAUAGAGAGUCGGACCUGCCCGGUGACAAAUAUUGUUAAACGGCCGCGGUACUCUGACCGUGCAAAGGUAGCAUAAUCAUUUGCCUCUUAAUUGGGGGCUGGUAUGAAUGGUUUGACGAAAACUAAGCUGUCUCUUUUUAAAUAUAUAAAAAUUAGCCUAUAGGUGAAGAGACCUAGAUUUAAUUGAGGGACAAGAAGACCCCAUUGAGCUUUAAUAAUCUAAUAAAUUAUAGUCAACUAUGAUGAAUUAUAGUUAUUACAUUUGAUGAAGAUUUUAUUUAUUAGAAAUUUUUAGUUGGGGCGACUGAGGAACACUAAAAGCUUCCUUUAAUAUAAAUUAUGUAUUAUGAAAUACAAUUUAGAUUAUAGCUGAUCCAGUAUAUAUUGAUCAAAGGAAAAAGUUACCAUGGGGAUAACAGCGUAAUCUUUCUAAAGAGUUCUUAUCGAAGGAAGGGUUUGCGACCUCGAUGUUGGACUAAGAUAUCCUAGAGAUGCAGAAGUUUCUAAUGGUUAGUCUGUUCGACUAUUAAAAUCUU
This 576-nucleotide ribosomal RNA is filed under the name Turbo reevii. Its description in RNAcentral is "partial 16S ribosomal RNA". It matches the Rfam family "Bacterial large subunit ribosomal RNA", at positions 1801 to 2597 of the family's 2925-position model. The record is from RNAcentral. Lineage: Eukaryota; Metazoa; Mollusca; Gastropoda; Trochida; Turbinidae.